Mycena latifolia is the source of this 92-nucleotide non-coding RNA. Lineage: Eukaryota; Fungi; Basidiomycota; Agaricomycetes; Agaricales; Mycenaceae. The record is from the annotation of a GenBank genome assembly.
GCGGACGUGGUGCACGGCGCACUGCUGCCUUCCCUAAUGAAAUAGUGAAAGCCUGUAAGCAGCCCGACGGGGUUCGACUCCCCGCGUCCGCA